AUGUCCAAAAAAGGAGGAAUGAAAGGCCAGCUUUCUCAUCACCCCACAGACACCCCCCCCACCCCCGCCCUCCGUGCUUCUUAUUGUUCUUGUUCUCUGCAGUUUCUUUUCCAAAGCGCUUGGUUUGGGGGAUGGUGCGUCUUCCUUGGGGCCGCCCCACGUGGCUCAGAGUGGGCACCGGCAGGGGUUCCCCUGGGCCAAGGAGGGGCCAGGUCUGCAGGAGCGGUUCUCCUCGCCCCCCACGCGUUUUUCCUUCCCCAGUUUGAUUUUUCCAGCCGAGAUGGGGUUCAUUUUACGGAGGACGUUGAACUGCUCAGAGCGCGAAGGGGGAAAUGCCAACUUGGAUUACUGACUGAGAACACCGCGUGAAAGGCCAGGCCUCCCUGAUCACCCGGACAGGCGCCGGCUUCGCGCUCCAGCCUGUAGAGGUGUCAACCGCGUGAGAGAUGCUCGGUCUCCCGGGAUCCAAAUUGGAGAUGGAAUCAGAGAUGGAAGGGGGAAAGGAGGAGGAUCCUUGAAACACCUGCGCGCCCACGGUCCCACUCCUCCUCCUCAGCCCCGCAUCUCACCGAACUGACCCCGGGCCAUUCUUCAGAUGUCCCAGCAGUUUUUGGAUCGCAGAGCUUCAGCGGUAGUUAGCUCAUCGUCAAUUCUCUUUUUUCUCGGUUAUCUUUGCUUUUACUUUUCAAGGCAACUAUGUAAGCAUUCGGUUUUCUGCAUAUUCACUUUCUUACAAAACAAAAGUUAUAUAUUUCUUAGGAAAUAAAAGAACCAGGGAUUCACAGUUCUUCCCAAUGGAAACAUAUUUUUAAGGCUCGACUUUGGGGGCAGCUGUUUAGAUUCGUGUAACCUGGUAGACUCUACUUACUGCACAUGGAAGUCCAGCCAUGCAAGAAAGCAAGAGGCAACAUGUUAAAGUUAUUUCCAAAGGACGCAUCUCCUAGAGUAGCCUGUUUGGACUGCAGCUGGCUUUUUAAAGAUUCAGUACGGAGUGUAUAUCUUCUCUGAUAGAUCUUGUCGAAUUGUACAGCAGGUUGUGUCACCAGUGUUUGUCUCCAUUUCUUUCUAAUAAUUCCAUUAUCACCUUCUCUUUGUUUCCGUCUGCACUCAAAUCCUCGAUUUCACUAACACUCCUUUUUGCUCCAUAACUAAAGGCAUACGUGGAGACGUUAAACAAUGGAGCAAAGAACCAAAACCUUUCACCUAUCUUAUUUGAUGUAGAAAGGAUUAAAUAAAGGUGCUGAAGUCCAUGUAAAAUGGAAACAGGAAGCCUUAAAAUACGGAGAGAGCUGGGGAUGGUUUCCAUGGCAGCAGCUUGCAAUAAAGCCUAAUUCCAAGUGACAAAGAGGUCAUCUUCCUUUUCAAACGUGUUUAUGAUCCCUUUGUGUAUUGUAUUUUGGCAUAAAAGCUUCUCCGCACCGUCAGGGCUCCGCGGGCAGCUCUAUGACUCUCAAGGGGGUUUAUUGCCUCCUUGGCAUAAGAAUAGCCGAAAGAAGCCAAACUAGUGCCAGUGUGACAAAAGAGUAACCCCACAGGCUUGCCAUUGCUUUCUUUCCCUUUUUUUUUUUUUUUUGCAAUACAUAAAUCUUGCUAUGCAUUGAAGUAAUCAAGCACGAAGGAUUCUGAGAUAAGUUUAGUUUAAUCUUGUUUUUUUUCUUCAAAUUUUUACAUCUACUGAAACAUCAUAUGUAAACCAAUACAAGAAGGUUGAUUUAAUAUGAGGAUAUGAUUUAUUUUUGCGUUACUUUCCAGAUAAUUUUGGGAAAGAAGUCAAGUGAGAUAAAACGUUGAACAUACCUGUGAAACUAACUAAAGACUAGCUGUAAACUUCAGAUAAUCAUUGUAUCAAUGAAUUAAUACUUUUUUUCAUAUCACAGUGCCUAGACUGAUCAAAAAGAUGUUUUUAAAAAUCAAACCUAUCUAGGCCAGGUGUGGUGGCUAACGUCUGUAAUCCCAGAACGUUGGGAGGCCAAGGCGGCAGGAUCACUUGAGGCUGGGAGUUCGAGACCAGCCUGGCCAACAUGUUGAAACCCCCUCUCUACGAAAAACACAAAAAUUAGCGAGGCUGGUGGCACAUGCCUGUAAUCCCAGCUACUCGGGAGGCUGAGGCAGGAGAAUCACUUGAACCCUGGAGGCAGAAGUUGCAGUGAGAUGAGAUCCCACUACUGGACUCCAGACUGGGUGACAGAAUGAGACCCUGUUUCAGAAUAAAUAAAUAAGGGCCCGGCGUGGUGGCUCAAGCCUGUAAUCCCAGGACUUUGGGAGGCAAGCAGAUCAUCUGAGGUCAGGAGUUCGAGACCAGCCUGGCCAACAUGGUGAAACCCAGUCUCUACUAAAAAAGUACAAAAAUUAGCCAGGCGCGGUGGCACACACCUGUAAUCUCAGCUACUCGGGAGGCUGAGGCAGGAGAAUUGCUUGAACCCGGGAGGCAGAGGUUGCAGUGAGCUGAAAUCUUACUGCUGCACUCCAGCCUGGACAACAAGAGUGAAAACUCCAUCUCAAAAAUAAUAAUAAUAAUAAAUAAAAAAUAAUAAGAAAGAUAGUUUUAAAAAAAUCCUAUCUUCAAGCCUGUAAUCCCAGCACUUUGGGAGGCCGAGACGGGCGGAUCACGAGGUCAGGAGAUCGAGACCAUCCUGGCUAACACAGUGAAACCCCGUCUCUACUAAAAAUACAAAAACUUAGCCGGGCGUGGUGGCAGGCGCCUGUAGUCCCAGCUACUCGGAAGGCUGAGGCAGGAGAAUGGCGUAAACCCGGGAGGCGGAGCUUGCAGUGAGCUGAGAUCCGGCCACUGCACUCCAGCCUGGGUGACAGAGUGAGACUCCGUCUCAAAAAAAAAAAAAAAAAAAAAAAAAAAAAAUCCUAUCUAAGUUAAUAAUGUUUCCCCUAACCCUCAAAAUUACCAUGGCAACUGCUUGGAAGCAGACAAGAAAAAAACAUAAUUUUGCUGGAAAAACAGUAAAGAACUCAGAAGUUCUGAGUUCACAUCCAAUGUUUCUCUUGAAUUAGGAGAUAUUUUGGACUGUAUCUCUGUGUGACAUCGGGCAUGUGCACGCAAACACAUCCUGUAGAGUUUUUCAUGGUAUCUGCAAUAGAAACUCCUUCCUAUAAUUUUCAGUAGAUGUAGGAGACUCCAUCUGACAUUUUCAGUUAUUAUUCUGUAAGCAAACAAUUUUUAAAGUGGUUCAGUUCUCCUUGAGUAGAGCUGUUCUGGCAUCUUAGGCUUCUCUGUUCCACAUCGGGGAGAGUUUUCUAAACGUCCGAGAGUUUUCAGAACCAUUUUGUUUUGAACUAUAGGAGGUGAAGCUGAACUGAUGAAGGCACUGACCAGUGGUACCCUCUUCACUUCCACAUUACUCUGUAUCUUACCUACACUUUCAUAACACAUGCAUGGUGUGGUAAUUACUAUAAUACCUUACAAAGCAGAUUGGAGAACAUAUCUGUGGUGUCAAUGACUGGAUAUAGUUCUCCAGGUAAUCAGGUAAUUGCUGCCUCUGCUUAUUUCUUUUUUUCUUUUCUUUCUUUUUUUGAGACAGGGUCUCACUCUGUCACCCAGGUUAGAGGGUAAUGGCACGAUCCUGGGUCACUGUAGCCUCUGGCUCCUGGGGUCGAGCGUUUCUUCCAUGUUAGCCUCCUGAGUAGCUGGGACUUCAGGCAUACACUACCACACCUAGCUAAAUUUUUAAAUUCUUCAUAGAGAUGAGGCCUCCCCUAUGUUUCCCAGUAGGCUCAAGCGACCCUCCCACUUCAGCUUCCUAAAAUGCUGGGAUUAUAGGCGUGGUUACUGCUCCAGCCCGCUUCUUUUUUUCCUUUGAGAUGGAGUCGCCAAGGCUGGAGUGCGGUGACACGAUCUUGGUUCACUGCAGUCUCCACCUCCCAGGUUCAAGGGAUUCUUAUGCCUCAUCUUUCCAAGUAUCUGGGAUUACAGGCACAUGCCAGUACACCUGGCUAUUUUCAGUAGAUGGGGUUUCACCAUGUUGGCUAAGGCUGGUCUCAAACUCCCGGCCUCAAGUGAUUCGCCCGCCUCAGCCUCCCAGAGUGCUGGGAUUACCAGCAUGAGCUGUGGUGCCUGGCCUGCUUCUUUAACUUUCUUUUUUUUUUUUUUUUUUUUUUGAGACGGAGUCUCACUGUGUCUCCCAGGCUGGAGUGCAGUGGCACGAUCUCGGCUCACUGCAAGCUCCGCCCCCCGGGUUCACGCCAUUCUCCCGCCUCAGCCUCCCAAGUAGCUGGGACUACAGGCGCCCGCUACCGCGCCCGGCUAGUUUUUUGUAUUUUUAGUAGAGACGGGGUUUCACCAUGUUAGCCAGGAUAGUCUCGAUCUCCUGACCUUGUGAUCCAUCCGCCUCGGCCUCCCAAAGUGCUGGGAUUACAGGCUUGAGCCACCGCGCCCGGCCGCUUCUUUAACUUUCUAAGGAAGAAAGUCAAAGGGUCAAUUUUCUUCAAUACCUUUUUUUUUUUUUUUUUUUUUUUUUUUUUCUCUCCCUACCCCAGCAAAGUGAGUGAAACUCCCCAAGGGCAUUUUGAUUCUAAUGUUACCAUAUUUUUGGUAAGGGACUAGAAAGACAGUAUUCAUAAACAUUGAGCUUCUUCACCCUUUUGUAUUCAUGACACACUUUCAAAUUCUAGAAAUUUUUCUUAGCAAAUUGGAAAGGAUUACAAGUCUCAAGACAACAUUAAACAAGGCAACAAUGAUUACACCAUGCACUGUCUCACUGGCAUCUCACAGAAUCUAUUAACAUUCAUAAUCAUCGGAUUAUUCACUUCGUUGUCCUUUUGCACUAUAUUACUGUGUAAAUAGAACUAUUUCUUGUCCUACAGUGAUCUGCUCUACAUGGUAGGCAAUAUUUUUACAAGUUCCAGGAAACACAAUUUCUUUUGCACUAUAUUUAGACUCUUAUUUAAAGCUGAAGAGGUCUGGUGUGGUGCCUCACACCUGUAAUCCCGGCAUGUUGGGAGGCUGAGGUGGGAGGAUUGCUUGAGGAGUUCGAGACCAGCCUGGGCUAUUUAGGGAGACCUUGUCUCUCUAAAAAAAAUUAAAAACUAGCCAGCAUGGUGGUGUAUGCCUGUAGUCCCAACUCUUCAGGAGGCUGAGGUGGGAGGAUUGCUUGAGCUCAGGAGGUCAAGGCUGCAGUGAACUGUAAUCGCACCACUGCACUCCAGUCUGGGUGACAGAGUGAGAACAUUUCUCAAAAUAAAAAUAAAUAAAUAAAUAAAUAAACAAAAGAAAGCUUGCUAUUUCCUUUCAUUCCGUGAUGUUCAGUUAAUUGUGUUUCACCUGACAAAACACUACUGCUGGAUAUUGUGGAGGAUGUUCCUUGUCUUUGCCAUAUCUGACUCUCUAAUCCUUUU
Molecule: long non-coding RNA, 5346 nt
Filed under: Papio anubis (olive baboon)
Lineage: Eukaryota; Metazoa; Chordata; Mammalia; Primates; Cercopithecidae
Description: lncRNA (ENSPANG00000050792.1)
Source: RNAcentral